Molecule: ribosomal RNA, 513 nt
Filed under: uncultured bacterium
Lineage: Bacteria
Description: partial 16S ribosomal RNA
Rfam family: Bacterial small subunit ribosomal RNA
Source: RNAcentral
AUUGAACGCUGGCGGCAUGCCUAACACAUGCAAGUCGAACGGCAGCACAGUAAAGACUUCGGUCUUUAUGGGUGGCGAGUGGCGGACGGGUGAGUAACGCGUAGGAAUCAGUCCUGGAGGGUGGGAAAACCCGAGGACACUCGGGCUAAUACCGCAUGAUAUCGAGCGAUCAAAAGCAGGGGAUCCAUCGGGGCCUUGCGCUCUAGGAUGGGCCAACGUCGGAUUAGCUAAUUGGUGGGGUAAAGGCCUACCAAGGCGACGAUCCGUAGCUGGUCUGAGAGGAUGAGCAGCCACACUGGGACUGAGACACGGCCCAGACUCCUACGGGAGGCAGCAGUGGGGAAUCUUAGACAAUGGAGGAAACCCUGAUCCAGCGAUGCCGCGUGUGUGAAGAAGGCCUUCGGGUUGUAAAGCACUUUAGUUGGGGAAGAAAAGUAAUAAGUAAAUAAUUUAUUUCUCUGACGGUACCCAAAGAAUAAGCACCGGCUAACUCUGUGCCAGCCGCCGCAGUAA